AUGUGCGCGAGUCAUUGGGCUCUCUAAACCCAAAGGCGCAGUGAAAGCGGAGACCGGCGAGGGCGCUUGGUCUGGGACUUGUCCCUCUCCUCUCGCUUCUCGCCGGGUUUCUUUUGUUUGGGAGGAUGGACUUCCAGCCUCGCUCCCUGGCGGGCGUGUGCAUGGGCCCGCACUCCCGGGGCGCCUCGGCCUCCUCGGGCCGCAGGCGCACCCAGAGCGUACACGUUGGGACCCGAAAGAUGGUGAACUAUGCCUGGCCAGGACGAAGUCAGGGGAAACCCUGAUGGAGGUCCGCAGCGAUUCUGACGUGCAAAUCGAUCGUCAGAGCUGGGUAUAGGGGCGAAAGACUAAUCGAACCAUCUAGUAGCUGGUUCCCUCCGAAGUUUCCCUCAGGAUAGCUGGCGUCCGUUUGGAUGCGGAGACGAGUCUCAUCCGGUAAAGCGAAUGAUUAGAGGCCUUGGGGCCGAAACGACCUCAACCUAUUCUCAAACUUUAAAUGGGUGAGAUCUCCGGCUUGCUCGAUCUCUUGUGUGAAGCCGCGAGUCUCUCGGAUCAGGGGGCCAAGUGGGCCAUUUUUGGCAAGCAGAACUGGCGCUGAGGGAUGAACCAAACGCCGGGUUAAGGCGCCUAAACCGGAGCUCAUGGGAUACCAUGAAAGGCGUU
This 663-nucleotide ribosomal RNA is filed under the name Symploce sphaerica. RNAcentral's name for it is "partial large subunit ribosomal RNA". It matches the Rfam family "Eukaryotic large subunit ribosomal RNA", at positions 680 to 1225 of the family's 3401-position model. Lineage: Eukaryota; Metazoa; Arthropoda; Insecta; Blattodea; Blattellidae. The record is from RNAcentral.